GAUGAACGCUGGCGGCGUGCCUAAUACAUGCAAGUCGAGCGAACAGACGAGGAGCUUGCUCCUCUGACGUUAGCGGCGGACGGGUGAGUAACACGUGGAUAACCUACCUAUAAGACUGGGAUAACUUCGGGAAACCGGAGCUAAUACCGGAUAAUAUAUUCAACCGCAUGGUUCAAUAGUGAAAGACGGUUUUGCUGUCACUUAUAGAUGGUUCCGCGCCGCAUUAGCUAGUUGGUAAGGUACCGGCUUACCAAGGCGACGAUGCGUAGCUGACCUGAGAGGGUGAUCGGCCACACUGGAACUGAGACACGGUCCAGACUCCUACGGGAGGCAGCAGUAGGGAAUCUUCCGCAAUGGGCGAAAGCCUGACGGAGCAACGCCGCGUGAGUGAUGAAGGUCUUCGGAUCGUAAAACUCUGUUAUUAGGGAAGAACAAAUGUGUAAGUAACUAUGCACGUCUUGACGGUACCUAAUCAGAAAGCCACGGCUAACUACGUG
This 497-nucleotide ribosomal RNA is filed under the name uncultured bacterium. Its description in RNAcentral is "partial 16S ribosomal RNA". It matches the Rfam family "Bacterial small subunit ribosomal RNA", at positions 28 to 507 of the family's 1533-position model. The record is from RNAcentral.